Molecule: long non-coding RNA, 312 nt
Organism: Gekko japonicus
Lineage: Eukaryota; Metazoa; Chordata; Lepidosauria; Squamata; Gekkonidae
Exons: 3
Source: RefSeq, a predicted model, not a curated record
AUGGAGACAAAGACAAAAAGAAGAAGAAAGAGAAAAAGCAGGAUGGACAUGAUGAUGACAGUAGCAGCAGCAGCAGCAGCUCAGACAGUGAUUCUGAGAAGGGUCACAAGAAAAAGAAGGAAAAAGACUAACUUUGUGAUUACCUACAACUCCACAGAGACCUCAGCAGAGCUUGCUUCAGGACAUUUGAUAACAUUCUACCUGGAAGAGGAACAAGAAUGAUCUGACUUUAAUCCAAAAUAAAGUAUCUUUGUUGUAUUUUACAUUAAAGUAGCUAUGCUCUGUUUACUGCUUUAACUUCCUUCAUAAAAU